RNAcentral lists this ribosomal RNA (447 nucleotides) under uncultured bacterium. RNAcentral describes it as "bacterial SSU rRNA". It matches the Rfam family "Bacterial small subunit ribosomal RNA", at positions 355 to 825 of the family's 1533-position model. The record is from RNAcentral.
UGGGGAAUUUUGCGCAAUGGGCGAAAGCCUGACCCAGCAACGCCGCGUGAAGGAUGAAGUAUUUCGGUAUGUAAACUUCGAAAGAAUAGGAAGAAUAAAUGACGGUACUAUUUAUAAGGUCCGGCUAACUACGUGCCAGCAGCCGCGGUAAUACGUAGGGACCAAGCGUUGUUCGGAUUUACUGGGCGUAAAGGGCGCGUAGGCGGCAAUUCAAGUCACUUGUGAAAUCUCUGGGCUUAACCCAGAACGGCCAAGUGAUACUGUCGCGCUAGAGUGCAGAAGGGGCAAUCGGAAUUCUUGGUGUAGCGGUGAAAUGCGUAGAUAUCAAGAGGAACACCUGAGGUGAAGACGGGUUGCUGGGCUGACACUGACGCUGAGGCGCGAAAGCCAGGGGAGCAAACGGGAUUAGAUACCCAUGUAGUCCCUGAGCGGGCUGGCAAGGCGCAU